CCUACGGGUGGCUGCAGUGGGGAAUAUUGCACAAUGGGCGCAAGCCUGAUGCAGCCAUGCCGCGUGUGUGAAGAAGGCCUUCGGGUUGUAAAGCACUUUCAGCGGGGAGGAAGGCGUUAAGGUUAAUAACCUUGGCGAUUGACGUUACCCGCAGAAGAAGCACCGGCUAACUCCGUGCCAGCAGCCGCGGUAAUACGGAGGGUGCAAGCGUUAAUCGGAAUUACUGGGCGUAAAGCGCACGCAGGCGGUCUGUCAAGUCGGAUGUGAAAUCCCCGGGCUCAACCUGGGAACUGCAUUCGAAACUGGCAGGCUAGCGUCUUGUAGAGGGGGGUAGAAUUCCAGGUGUAGCGGUGAAAUGCGUAGAGAUCUGGAGGAAUACCGGUGGCGAAGGCGGCCCCCUGGACAAAGACUGACGCUCAGGUGCGAAAGCGUGGGGAGCAAACAGGAUUAGAUACCCUGAUAGUC
RNAcentral lists this ribosomal RNA (465 nucleotides) under uncultured Klebsiella sp. RNAcentral describes it as "bacterial SSU rRNA". It matches the Rfam family "Bacterial small subunit ribosomal RNA", at positions 338 to 795 of the family's 1533-position model. The record is from RNAcentral. Lineage: Bacteria; Pseudomonadati; Pseudomonadota; Gammaproteobacteria; Enterobacterales; Enterobacteriaceae.